This is a non-coding RNA of Podarcis lilfordi (Lilford's wall lizard), 70 nucleotides long. NCBI's taxonomy places the organism in Eukaryota, Metazoa, Chordata, Lepidosauria, Squamata, Lacertidae. The record is from the annotation of a GenBank genome assembly.
GCCUGCAGAAUAGCUCAGUCAGCAGAGCAUGAGACUCUCAAGGUUGUGGGUUUGAACCCCACAUCGGGCA